GCCCAUGGGAGAUGCUGCUCGGGGCUGGCCUGGUGGUGCCGAUACUCGCCUCUCGCAGAGGCUCCAGGCAAGUCCCAGAGAAGGUGAGGCUCCCUGGGAGCCUUCACGCAGGAGAACAAAAGAAAGCCCGGUGUUCCCGCUCCUCACAUAAGAAGCAUCAGGCUCACAGCCUCAUCACCUGAGGUCACGGGAACUGUUUGUCUCCCAUGCUCCAGCAACACCCACUUGCCAAGUUUUUGCUUCCUAUGGAUAUUUAUUCACCAUCUAAUGCAGACCAACUGGCAAGACUCAAGAGAAAGCUGUACACAAGGAAAAGAAAAGAAGAUGAUAGAGGAAAAUAAGAUAAUAAAGGAAAGAAGUAUUCGUGGCGGCAAACGUAGGAUGUGGGUAUAUUCACAGAUGUGAGUGUUGUCGUGACAAAGGAAAAGUCAGGCCUGUGGAAGAGAAAUACCAUUGAAAAACUGUCCUGGUCAAACUUCCACCAAAAAGUACAGUAUGGGGAGAGAGAAACUGCCUCCCUCACUCAACUUCCCUGUUUUGAUUCACGGAAUGAUCAUCGCCUCUGCCCCUCGCCGGAAACCUUACGAGGCUUCUCCAAGGUUUCCCAUCCACUGUCAAUCACUUGGUUGUGUCUGAAUUGUUCUUCAAAAUGAUUCCUCUGUUGUAUUCUUUGCUUUCAUUUCCAUUCUUGUCCAGCUGCUUGUCUCUAAA
This 711-nucleotide long non-coding RNA is filed under the name Homo sapiens (human). Its description in RNAcentral is "HSALNT0130436". The record is from RNAcentral. Lineage: Eukaryota; Metazoa; Chordata; Mammalia; Primates; Hominidae.